Molecule: ribosomal RNA, 405 nt
Filed under: uncultured bacterium
Lineage: Bacteria
Description: partial 16S ribosomal RNA
Rfam family: Bacterial small subunit ribosomal RNA
Source: RNAcentral
AUUGAACGCUGGCGGCAGGCUUAACACAUGCAAGUCGAACGAGUGGCGGACGGGUGAGUAAUGUUUGGGAAUCUAGCCUAUGGAGGGGGAUAACUACGGGAAACGGUAGCUAAUACCGCGUACCAUAGGAUGAGCCCAAGUGGGAUUAGGUAGUUGGUGUGGUAAAGGCUCACCAAGGCGACGAUCUCUAGCUGGUCUGAGAGGAUGACCAGCCACACUGGGACUGAGGCACGGCCCAGACUCCUACGGGAGGCAGCAGUGGGGAAUAUUGCGCAAUGGGGGCAACCUGACGCAGCCAUGCCGCGGGAAUGAAGAAGGCCUUCGGGUUGUAAAGUUCUUUCGGUAGCGAGGCGUUAACUACAGGAGAAGCACCGGCUAACUCCGUGCCAGCCGCCGCGGUAAUAC